Molecule: ribosomal RNA, 445 nt
Filed under: uncultured bacterium
Lineage: Bacteria
Description: partial 16S ribosomal RNA
Rfam family: Bacterial small subunit ribosomal RNA
Source: RNAcentral
GUGAGGAAUAUUGCGCAAUGGAGGCAACUCUGACGCAGCCAUGCCGCGUGCAGGAAGAAGGCGCUACGUGUUGUAAACUGCUUUUAACCGGGCAGAAACCCCAGGACGUGUCCUGGGUUGACGGUACCGGAGGAAUAAGCACCGGCUAACUUCGUGCCAGCAGCCGCGGUAAUACGAAGGGUGCAAGCUUUAUCCGGAUUCAUUGGGUUUAAAGGGUGCGCAGUCGGAGCGUUAAGUCAGUGGUGAAAUCCUGCAGCUUAACUGUAGACUUGCCAUUGAUACUGGCGCUCUUGAGUGCGCUUGAAGUGGGCGGAAUGUGCCGUGUAGCGGUGAAAUGCUUAGAUAUGGCACAGAACACCAAUUGCGAAGGCAGCUCACUAAGGCGAUACUGACGCUGAGGCACGAAAGCGUGGUGAUCGAACAGGAUUAGAAACCCGGGUAGUCC